AAUCCCGCCGCCAAGGCUUAUCUAGAGGAUAGCGUUGCAGGGCGGCCCUCGGGCCGUCCGAGACUGCGAUCAUAUAAGACCUGGCGGACGGGGGCUGCAAUGCCCCCCGCCUCCACCAAAAGACCUCGUGAUGAGCGGGGCAUGGCCUGCGGGCCAUCAGGCCAAACCUCUGCGGAGUGAGGGCUUGUCCGAUGGGGGCGAAUUAGGAUCGACGUGGGUGAAUAAGGGUCGUUUAGACGUUGGGUGAGGUACGCCCGCUGAUCCCUUCGGGGAAAGGCUCGUCCGACAACUUGUGAAUGUCGCAAAUGACAACCACAAUGCUCAGGAUCUCCGCGUAGCUGCCUAACGGUGGCCGUGGUGAAACUAGGCGGGGCUGGAAUGGCCUAGCAACAGAAUAUUCCCAGG
RNAcentral lists this transfer-messenger RNA (405 nucleotides) under Skermanella mucosa. It matches the Rfam family "Alphaproteobacteria transfer-messenger RNA". From Rfam's summary of the family: Bacterial tmRNA, also known as 10Sa RNA or SsrA, is named for its dual tRNA and mRNA-like properties. Its role is to liberate the mRNA from a stalled ribosome. Lineage: Bacteria; Pseudomonadati; Pseudomonadota; Alphaproteobacteria; Rhodospirillales; Azospirillaceae. The record is from RNAcentral.